Molecule: small RNA, 596 nt
Filed under: Pongo abelii (Sumatran orangutan)
Lineage: Eukaryota; Metazoa; Chordata; Mammalia; Primates; Hominidae
Description: processed transcript
Source: RNAcentral
AUAGCCGAAGUUCGUAAAUUGAAAUUGAACAUGCGUAAUUAAUCUUUCUGAAUAGGAAAAAAUAUAUACACAACAAAACUCUCCGUUUAUGGAACAUGCGCAUUCGUUCUCAGUAAGUUUUUCGUGUUGAAAGUGAGCAUGCGCAUGGUGAGUAGGUUGGUCCGAAGUUUGAACCGGACAGUAGCUCUGCUCCGCGUCUGGCGGUUGUUUUUAGAGGCAAUACACCUAGUUUGUGGCUCAGCAUGUCAAUUGUAACAGUGCAACUUGGUCAGUGUGGCAAUCAGAUUGGUUUUGAAGUUUUUGAUGCUUUGCUUAGUGAUUCACACAGUUCCCAGGGACUCUGCUCUAAGAGAGAGAAUGAGGCAUAUCAAGCAUCUUGCAAAGAAAGAUUCUUCAGUGAGGAGGAGAAUGGAGUUCCAAUUGCCCGGGCUGUUCUUGUUGACAUGGAACCCAAAGUUAUCAAUCAAACGCUGUCAAAGGCUGCCCAGUCUGGCCAGUGGAAAUAUGGUCAACAUGCAUGCUUCUGUCAAAAACAAGGUUCUGGAAACAACUGGGCAUAUGGGUUAUUGUUCAAAACUACAACUCCAUUUUGACAC